Molecule: ribosomal RNA, 556 nt
Filed under: uncultured Chloroflexota bacterium
Lineage: Bacteria; Bacillati; Chloroflexota
Description: bacterial SSU rRNA
Rfam family: Bacterial small subunit ribosomal RNA
Source: RNAcentral
GGCGCACGGGUGAGUAACACAUGGCUAACCUACCCUUCAGAGGGGGACAACCACUGGAAACGGUGGCUAAUACCCCAUACGCUCGCAAGGAUUAGCAGCUUGCGAGGAAAAGCUCCGGUGCUGAGGGAGGGGGCUGUGGCCCAUCAGCUAGUUGGUAGGGUAAAAGCCUACCAAGGCGAAGACGGGUAGGGGGCCUGAGAGGGUGACCCCCCACACGGGCACUGGGAUACGGGCCCGACUCCUACGGGAGGCAGCAGUGAGGAAUAUUGCCCAAUGGACGCAAGUCUGAGGCAGCAACGCCGCGUGCGGGAUGAAGGCCUUCGAGUCGUAAACCGCUUUUCUGUGCGAAGAGGAAGGACGGUAGCGCAGGAAUAAGUCUCGGCUAACUACGUGCCAGCAGCCGCGGUAAAACGUAGGAGGCAAGCGUUAUCCGGAUUUACUGGGUGUAAAGCGCGUGCAGGCGGUUUCGUAAGUUGUGCGUGAAAGCGCCCGGCUCAACCGGGCGAGGCCGUGCAAAACUGCGGAACUAGAGGCAGGUAGAGGCGUGUGGAAUUCC